Molecule: ribosomal RNA, 564 nt
Filed under: uncultured delta proteobacterium
Lineage: Bacteria; Deltaproteobacteria
Description: bacterial SSU rRNA
Rfam family: Bacterial small subunit ribosomal RNA
Source: RNAcentral
UGCAAGUCGAACGCGAAAUUUUUCUUCGGAAAGAGAGUAGAGUGGCGCACGGGUGAGUAACGCGUAAGUUAUCUACCCCGGCAUCUGGAAUAACUCACCGAAAGGUGUGCUAAUACCGGAUACGUUGAGAAAUCAAGAAAGGUGGCCUCUGGAUAUGCUACCGUGCUGGGAUGAGCUUGCGUACCAUUAGCUAGUUGGUAGGGUAAAGGCCUACCAAGGCGACGAUGGUUAGCGGGUCUGAGAGGAUGAUCCGCCACACUGGAACUGGAACACGGACCAGACUCCUACGGGAGGCAGCAGUGAGGAAUAUUGCGCAAUGGGGGCAACCCUGACGCAGCGACGCCGCGUGGAUGAUGAAGGCCUUCGGGUCGUAAAAUCCUGUCAGAUGGAAAGAAGUGUAUGGUGGAUAAUACCUGCUGUACUUGACGGUACCAUCGAAGGAAGCACCGGCUAACUCCGUGCCAGCAGCCGCGGUAAUACGGAGGGUGCAAGCGUUGUUCGGAAUUACUGGGCGUAAAGCGCGCGUAGGCGGUUUGCUAAGUCAGAUGUGAAAGCCCAUGGCUC